RNAcentral lists this long non-coding RNA (1992 nucleotides) under Homo sapiens (human). RNAcentral's name for it is "non-protein coding LINC01776:28". The record is from RNAcentral. Lineage: Eukaryota; Metazoa; Chordata; Mammalia; Primates; Hominidae.
AUUUGCAGACAGACGAAGCUAUAGAGAGGGACAAUGCAAGUAACCUCAAAUGAGAGUGUGGAAAGGCGGGAAAGCAGCCAGAGCUUCAUUGUUAUGAAAAAAGAGUGAAAUGUGCUCUGUUGAAGAGUUGAAGAAUGAACAAAGGAUAUUUAGUUUGAAUGGAAGCUCAGUAAUGAGAAAUGAGAAUGGUUGAGUUCUUAAAAGAAGCAAGUAAAGAAGAGGAUUUGUGGGCUACUAAUCUCAUUCAGUGAAUCUCAUACGACCCUUGCCUAGUGUUAAAUAUGUUAAUGAAUUCAUGUCAUGCUGCUCAGUCUUACUAGCCUUCAUCAUCCAGAGUAAAAUGCAUAUGAUUCCUAUGAAAAUUUGUGGAAAGGAAUAUAUUAAUAGGUUAGAAGAAUUAGAAGAAUGAAAAGAAAUAAUUUUUGCUUUUUAAAUGGAGAAUCAUGCAUAUUUGGAGACACAAGGGAAGAAGCCCAUGGAGAAGGAGAGAUGAAGCUGUAAAAGAAAGAUGCUAUGAAUGUGCUCUCGACAGGUGAGAAGAUGCCUCGACAGGGGCAUGGGGAAGCAACUGUCUGUUAAUCCACAAGCAAUGGAAACAGUAUUGCCUGAAGAAAAUGACUAAAAUGAUAGCCAAUGAAUACCAAUAUAAGCUGAUGCUUUUAGGGAAGAGCUGCUGCAGAAGCACAGACAAAUCAUUGGAGAGUACCUUGUGAAAAUGGCUGCAGAUCACUGAGGACAUUACUCAGAGUCUUGUUCUGGAAGCACCCCAGAGAAGCAGGUUGGGACCACAAAAGCUUUACCUUAGAAAGUAGAUUGACAUCUGGAGAAAAAUUGGACCUAUCUACUUCUUUUAUGAGGGCAGGAACUGAGUGACUGUCUUGCUUUUCAGGUAUCCACAUCACCUAACACAAUGCCUGGCAAAUAAGGAGGCACUCAAUAAAUCUAAUUGUUCAAUAAAUUCAAUGAAUGUCAAAUCUCAUUAAGAGAGAGAGAUUAGUGAGAUUGAGUGAUUGAUUUUGAGCUAGUGGAAAAAAAUGCAGGGGAAGAUAGCCAGCAAUACUUUGUAUCUAUGUACCAACACUAUGCUACUUGUUUUACAUAUAUUAUUUUACAUAUAUUAUCUUUUUAAAAAAUAGUCUUGAUAAACCUCAUUUUUUUAUUCCUACUUUACACUGGAAGAUAAAGCUCAAAGAAAUUACAGAUCACCCCAGGAUCACACUGUUAGUAAGUAUCAGUGUGAUGGUUUUAAACCAGUUGUGUUGGGCUCCAAAGAUAGAGACUUUACACUACACCAAGUUUUAGAAGAGCUCAGUGAUUUCAAAAAGGAGCAGAUUUACUCUCACAAAGCAGUAGUUCUCUAUCUCUAGAAAUUAUAGUAGCUUUAGAGUUGGAAGGGAGAUUAGUGAUACGCUUCAACUGCCUCUUGCAAUGGAUGAGGGAUUGAAGUCAAGAGAAGUAGAGGCAUGCUCACAUGCAUGGCAAGAAUGGGGCAGCAUAAAGUUGUAUGCCUUCUUGCGUACUGCCAGCACACUUUCAAUUAUUUACCGAAUAUCUGUCUUUCACACCAAAUAAUAAGUUCGAUCUAUGAAGUCAGGUGCAUUAAUUAUCUUAUUUAUUUAAUAUCUCAGGACAAACCUACAUAAUAAUAUAUCAAUAAGUAUUUAAUAACUGCAUAGAUGAAUGACUGGAAACAGUACUUGAACCCAGGUUUCCAAACCUGAAAUGUUUGAACAGAAGGUUUGUGAUCCUUUAUCAGUGGUGUUCUGUGUUAGGUGUGACUUGUACUAGAUAGUCACCAUGGUCCCUUCCAGAAGUAACAUCUAUAAAAUUAAAUCAGCCUGGGAGUCUCUGAUCUUUAUGCCUACUGCACCCUAUCUAUACUUCUAUUUUAGCAUUUAUUGAAUUGCACUGAAAUAACUGUUUACAUUCGUAUUUUUCUUACCAGAGUAAAAGUAUAUGCGAGUUGAGACUGUGUUUUUAUAGUGGUUUCCA